RNAcentral lists this unclassified non-coding RNA (233 nucleotides) under Hevea brasiliensis (rubber tree). The record is from RNAcentral. Lineage: Eukaryota; Viridiplantae; Streptophyta; Magnoliopsida; Malpighiales; Euphorbiaceae.
AGAGCAAGUGUCUUCUUCAAGCGUGGAGUUGGUAAAAUUGGGAUAUGGGUAUUUGAGAGAAUGCUGUUGAGAACAAGUGUAGAAACUGAGUCCUGCCGUGUGAGGAACUCGAUAUCCAUAGCACGAUGGCUGGGACCAUUUCUUCUGAGCCCAUUGUCCAGGAAGAGCACAGUGUUUUCCGAUUUAGGGUUUCCCUCGUUUGGAGAAAAAGCGAAAGGUAAUGACAGGAAGCA